AGUCGAGCGAACGGACGAGAAGCUUGCUUCUCUGAUGUUAGCGGCGGACGGGUGAGUAACACGUGGAUAACCUACCUAUAAGACUGGGAUAACUUCGGGAAACCGGAGCUAAUACCGGAUAAUAUUUUGAACCGCAUGGUUCAAAAGUAAAAGACGGUCUUGCUGUCACUUAUAGAUGGAUCCGCGCUGCAUUAGCUGGUUGGUAAGGUAACGGCUUACCAAGGCAACGAUGCAUAGCCGACCUGAGAGGGUGAUCGGCCACACUGGAACUGAGACACGGUCCAGACUCCUACGGGAGGGCAGCAGUAGGGAAUCUUCCGCAAUGGGCGAAAGCCUGACGGAGCAACGCCGCGUGAGUGAUGAAGGUCUUCGGAUCGUAAAACUCUGUUAUUAGGGAAGAACAUAUGUGUAAGUAACUGUGCACAUCUUGACGGUACCUAAUCAGAAAGCCACGGCUAACUACGUGCCAGCAGCCGCGGUAAUACGUAGGUGGCAAGCGUUAUCCGGAAUUAUUGGGCGUAAAGCGCGCGUAGGCGGUUUUUUAAGUCUGAUGUGAAAGCCCACGGCUCAACCGUGGAGGGUCAUUGGAAACUGGAAAACUUGAGUGCAGAAGAGGAAAGUGGAAUUCCAUGUGUAGCGGUGAAAUGCGCAGAGAUAUGGAGGAACACCAGUGGCGAAGGCGACUUUCUGGUCUGUAACUGACGCUGAUGUGCGAAAGCGUGGGGAUCA
RNAcentral lists this ribosomal RNA (729 nucleotides) under uncultured Staphylococcus sp. RNAcentral's name for it is "bacterial SSU rRNA". It matches the Rfam family "Bacterial small subunit ribosomal RNA", at positions 60 to 770 of the family's 1533-position model. Lineage: Bacteria; Bacillati; Bacillota; Bacilli; Caryophanales; Staphylococcaceae. The record is from RNAcentral.